GGGGAUGACAGGCUUCGACGGAGGAGGCUGGUCCCGGACGGCGAGCCGAGAGGUACCGACCUCGUAAAAUCAGUACACAAAAUUAAGUGCCAAUCGCACAAACACAUACGCUGCUAUGCCCCUCGCUGCCUAAGCGAAGCAUAAAAGCUAAAUGACUCCCUUGUGGGUCACGUCUACCUACCCCGCUCCUUAACCGGAGGUAGGCUAGGCGACACAAAGUUAAGGUGCCAUAUAAACUGCCGUAGUUUAUAUGAAAGAGGGCUUUCGGGUCCAAUGCGGAUAACGCUUAUUCAGUAUUGUUGAUUUUCUGAAUACAACGUGAAAAGAUGAAUCAACUACGCUCGUAGAAGUGCGACGAUCUAUUCUUUCGGACGCGGGUUCGAUUCCCGCCAUCUCCACAG
RNAcentral lists this transfer-messenger RNA (401 nucleotides) under Anaerolineaceae. RNAcentral describes it as "UBA6170 sp002702705 Standard tmRNA". It matches the Rfam family "transfer-messenger RNA". From Rfam's summary of the family: Bacterial tmRNA, also known as 10Sa RNA or SsrA, is named for its dual tRNA and mRNA-like properties. Its role is to liberate the mRNA from a stalled ribosome. To accomplish this part of the tmRNA is used as a reading frame that ends in a translation stop signal. The record is from RNAcentral. RNAcentral also lists the same sequence under 1 other name. Lineage: Bacteria; Bacillati; Chloroflexota; Anaerolineae; Anaerolineales.